This 253-nucleotide ribosomal RNA is filed under the name uncultured bacterium. RNAcentral's name for it is "partial 16S ribosomal RNA". It matches the Rfam family "Bacterial small subunit ribosomal RNA", at positions 1251 to 1500 of the family's 1533-position model. The record is from RNAcentral.
AAGGGGCGGACCUGGAGCAAAUCUCAAAAAUAAACGUCUCAGUUCGGACUGUAGUCUGCAACCCGACUACACGAAGCUGGAAUCGCUAGUAAUCGCGAAUCAGAAUGUCGCGGUGAAUACGUUCCCGGGCCUUGUACACACCGCCCGUCACACCAUGAGAGUUGGCAAUACCCAACGUACGUGAUCUAACCCGCAAGGGAGGAAGCGUCCUAAGGUAGGGUCAGCGAUUGGGGUGAAGUCGUAACAAGGUACC